This is a long non-coding RNA of Thamnophis elegans (Western terrestrial garter snake), 298 nucleotides long. RefSeq lists it as uncharacterized. The record is from RefSeq and is a predicted model, not a curated record. The transcript is spliced from 2 exons. NCBI's taxonomy places the organism in Eukaryota, Metazoa, Chordata, Lepidosauria, Squamata, Natricidae.
AGUUGACAAGCGUCCGAAUUUUGAUCGAGCGAUUACAUCAUGGAAAUAUUUUCCUUCUUUCCCAGAAUUUUAAGGACGGCCCAGCUGGUUCUGGUGGCUUCUUUCAGGGAUUUCAUCUGGACAAUACCACCAUCGUUACCUGUGGAGACAAGAGGAUGGCAUUUUAAAGCAUCUAUUUAACAUCUAUUGGCAGGGUUCCAAGGGGUUGCCCUAAAGAAGAGGGGGGUCAAGCUAUUCUCCAAAGAAUCAGAAGGCAGGACGAAAAGGAAUGGAUGGUAUCUAAUCAAGGAGAGAAACA